Pseudopipra pipra is the source of this 6335-nucleotide long non-coding RNA. RefSeq lists it as uncharacterized. Lineage: Eukaryota; Metazoa; Chordata; Aves; Passeriformes; Pipridae. The transcript has 4 exons. The record is from RefSeq and is a predicted model, not a curated record.
CUUCUCCACACUGAAAGGGAUGUACCCCCUCUUCCUUCCCUCCCCGUAGCUGUGGUCCUGCCUCCUCCUUGAGCUGGGAGUAGCACCUGUUGGUUCAGUUGACAUGAAGAGCAGAAAAAAUAUUAGUUUUUAAGCGGCUGAGUCAUGGGGUUUUUGUGGUUUGUUUGUUUGUUUGGCUUUUUUUGUUGUUUUUUUUUGGGGGGGGGGGGUUGUGUGGUUUUUUUGGGUGUUUUUUCCCUCCUUCUCUCUAGGUUUAGUGUGCUGAGCCGUCUCUAGGAGGCUGGUAAGCUGGGGAUCCCAUGCAAAGAGGUGGUAGGAUUGGUGAGGAGGGGGGUGAUCCCUUUAGUCAACAGUUAGACCAAGCUCAGCUGCGGUGGCAACCACAGCCUAAUUAACCAGCAAGAGCUGUGACAUGCUCAGCAUUUUCCCCUUCUCUGAAUGCCACAGAGCUUAGACUAAGCAGCACAUUUGCAAUGCCAGGAAGAAGUCUACUUUUAUCCACAAAUUAAAACUUUCUAAUUAUCUGUGAUUUUUAGGUAACUUCUUUUAUAAUUUCUUACUAUAUAUUUUUCAUUUUUCCCCUUUAUUUCUUAGACACAGAGAGGAAGAAAAAGCUUUUUUAAAAAGCAAAAAAUCCUGACAGGCAAAAUUUUGAUGCUUAUUCACUAAUACAACUAAAUUAAUAGGGUAUUUUUUUGCUUGGUUAGGAAAACAGGAUUUUCAAAUAUUAAAAGAAAAGAGCAGGCAAAGAUUGCCAGUUCAGAUGGCUAUUUUGGCCCGUAAAUAAAUAAAUUCAUGUCAGUAAUUUUGAGCCACUUCAGAUCCUACAGACCAGAAAAGUGGAAAGCCACUCCUUGAAUUGUAAGAUGUUUGUGGAAAUAAUUCCCUUUGUCCUACAAGGAGAAUUAGGGGAUCUGCUCAGACAUUCCUGGUGGUUUCACUGAAGGAGAUGAGAGGGCUGGACUUGCUUUUGCAUACGCAAAGAGCAAUAAAACAAGCAGCCAAAUGGUCAGAGAAGUCCCCGUAAACAUAUCAAAGUUUAAUGUUCAGUUUAUGUAGCGGGCCUUGAAUGUCUAUAGAAGAUGGAUUUAAGCUGGGCUGUCAGGCUUGGAAGCAACACAGGCGCAAAUGCAUACUUGGUUUUCCAGCUCUGCUGAGAGGACAGUAACAGGGGAAGGAAGGGGGACCAGAAAAUGGGUAAGAUUUUAAACCACUGGUUCGUGAGUGUUUGGUAUGUGAAUGCAUAUCAACAUGUAUAGUAAAGGAAAGAUGUGCAGCGUUUGCUUUGUUUCUUUUUUCCUUCUUUUUUUUUUUUUUCUUCUUGUGCAGCCCUGUCACUUAACACAGAAAACACCAGGACCUCAAACAAGCAACAGCUUCUGCCAUUGAUGCCUAUAAUAGGACUGUGCUGGUGAUAAAUUACAGCAAUGAGCUUGUUAGCAGAGUCCAGGCCUUAAACACUUGCUUAGUUACCGUAGCUAUAGCUCCAGAUCAUCAAAGUGCUCGAGGGGACCCAAUGCCUGUGACAGGAAAGCUCCUCUAACUCAGGCUCUGCCAGGGGAAGAAGGGGCAGGAUUUCCAUCUCUCUGCCUUACAGGGAUGUUAGCAAAAAGACUCAGCAGCACUCAGUAUGGCCCUACUUUGCUGCAACGAUAAGUAGUGACAGCAUUUUUUAAUUUUUCUUUUCUUUUACUGUAUUAUUUGACCUCCUGUUAAGGUGUGAACUGACUAGUUCUAUAAAGAAAAAACUGCCUGAGCCUAUUCUGCAUGCAGAAACAGCUUCUCUUCAGUCUUCCAUGAAAAGAUUUAGAUGAAACAGAAGAUGGGAGCUUGUUUCACUCAAUACUGAUCAAAGUAAUGUAAUAUGUAUUUGCUUUUCUCAGUUACAGGCCUGAAAUGGGAUGCUCUACUGAAAACACUUAUUUUUUUUCUUUUUUUUUUUUUUCCCCUCUUUUACAAUCUUAUCAUUUUAAUGCUGCCUGCUAUUUAUGCCUGAAGGAAGGGAAAGGAGAGAACAAUAACUUGAAGCACUGUGACCUAGGUUUAGGGCAACAAGAGCUGAGGAAAUUCAGCAGCAGAUCCACAGUUGCAGGCUGAUGGAGGCAGGCCAGGAGGAGGAGGAGGCAGAGGAAGCAGUAGCUCAUAGCUGCAUCUGCUGGCUCAGUGCAGCUGAGGGCCUCCUUUACUGGUGCUGCGUCAGUGCGUGUGCUUGGUGGUCAGGUUUGAUGGCCUCAUCUGUCUGGCUUCAAAAUUUCGCCCAUGUCUGGUGCACUUCUGAUCUGUGGCAGAGCCAGAAAAACUGCCCAAGGAGAAAAAAGCAGUGUCCAGGUGGGGUCCCUGCACCUGUGAAGCACAGCCAUGGCCUCAAGACUCUGCUGCUUUGGCUCAGUCAGACUGUGGUUUCUCUCAGAGGGGUGCCAGGGGCUUUUCCAGCCCCCUUAGCCCAUGGUCUUUGCAGCACGAAGCACAGUGAGGGAGUUGCCCACCAUGGAGGUGGAAACAGGAGGAAAAUAGUUUGUGCAGCUCCUGCCAGGAGUAGAGGAGAGCAUGGAGUGCCUAUGACAUUGGGAGAUUUAGUGUCAGGGAAUGGGACAGGUGGUGCAGGGAUGUCCCUGGAGGAGAUAGAGAGCACCUGUGAGAUAAACGGACCUUGAGAAGUUAUGGGGUGGGAUGAGAAGGCCAGAAAGGCAGCAGCUUUUUGUACAGCUACGUUUGGGGUGACGUAUCAAGUGCGUUGCUUUUGAAUGGGCAAAACAAAUCAUUGAACUUGGCUGUGUUUGGAUGUCUGACCAUCUGUGUGCUUAAUUACUGUCCUUUUCUCUUUUAGGAUCUGGUCCAAGCUACAGUAAAGUCAGCAGAACCUUGUUCACUUAAUGGAUUGUGCCAUUUAGGGCCAAGAUAUUUUUUCCGCAAAUAUUUUAUGAUUUGGGUGGUGAGCAGGAAGGCAAUUGGCCGGUCCUGUUUCCUUUCCUUGCAAUUAAUUUUGGGCAGGGAAAAUUUUGUUCUUUUUAGAAAAUAUCUUCUUUUAAACCAGAAUGUUUGUUUUUGCAAAAUUAUGUGUACUUUUAAGAAAACUUUUAAUGAUUGAAUGAAAAAAAACAAUGCAGAUUUUUUUUGUGGUUCUACAUUUCUAAUUUAUUAUUUUUUCUUGUCUCCCUUUUAAGAAGCUAAAAGGGGAGGAAUGAAAGGAGUAAUUAUAAACUUUUUCAGUAAGAGACUUUUGAAACUGAGCAUCUUGAAAAGCCCAAAAGAAAAAAAAACCAGUUUAUACAGAGUAUGACAAACUUCUUGCCUCUGACCUUGAGUAUAUUUAACUUAAAUAGUGUUCAUACGAAUUCUAGGCAGUCACCUGGAAGGAGAAAUAAUCAUAGAAUGGUUUGAGUUGGAAAGGUCACCUUGUCCAAUCCCCUGCAAUAAACAGUUACUUCAACUAGAUCAGGUUGCUCAAAGCCCUGUCCAGCCUGAUCUAGAAUGUUUCCAGAGAUGGAGCAUCUGCCACCUCUCUGGCCAAUCUGUUUCAGUACCUUCGCUGUAAAAGAAUUCUGCCUUAUGUCUAGUCUGAGUCUACCCUUUUUUGGUUCGAAAUCAUUAACCCUUGUCCUGUCACAGGAGGCCCUGCUAAGAAGUCUGUUCCUCUCUUUCUUAUAAGCCCCCUUUAGGUCCUGGAAGUAGGUCACCCCAGAGCCUUCUCUUCUCCAGACUAAAGAACUCCAACUCUCUCAGCCUUUCCUCGUAAGGAGAGGUGUUCCAUACCUCUGAUCAUCUUCAUGGUCCUCCUCUGGAGUUGCUCCAACAGUUCCAUGUCCUUCCUGUGCUAAGCACCCCAGAACUGGGUGCAGCAUACCAGGUAGGGUCUCACCAGAGCAGAGCAGAGGGACAGAAUCACCUCCCUCAACCUGCUGCCCACACUGCUUUUGGUGCAGACCAGGACACGAUUGGUCUGGCUUUCUGGGCUGCCAGUGCACAUGUUGUCAGCUUGUGUCCAGCCUCUGAUCCACCAGCCUCCUAAGUCCUUCUUGGCAGGGCUGCUUGUGAUCUGCUCAUCCCCCAGCCUGUAUUUAUAUUGGGGGUUGCCCCAAGGUACAGCACUUUGCAUUUGGUCUUAUUAACCCUCAUGAGAUUCUUGUGGGUCCACUUCUCUAGCUUGUCCUGGUCCCUCUGGAUGGCAUCCCAUCCCUCAGGUGUGUCAACAGCUCACAAGGGAACUUCAGGUUUUUCAGUUUUCCAUUUAAUUUGAAAUCUGUGGGACAAAAAUGUUCUCAAUUUGUUAGCAUCCAUCUUUCAAAUUCAGCAGAUCACUGUCAAUAGGACAGCUCAGAACUGGAAUAUUACUGAACUGGAAAUGCGGUUCAGAAUUAAGAUGCAGUGUUUCAGAGAGGGGGACUUAUGUGUCAGUGGACACAUACAAAGAUGCUAAAGAAGGCUACAGGUAGAUAUCAAGGUCUUAUUCACUCUGAAAGUCGCUGUCUUGUAUAUUCAAGCUUCCGGUUUUCCGUUUAAACCAAUAUUUAUACAGAAUGAAAAUAUUCACACUAUAAAAUUUUUAAUAUAUAAACCCCAGUAUCCCCCUAAUUAUUCAGUCAGCUGUUUGGAUGUGUGCACUGACAGGGACAGUAUGAAGGAACAGUGGCUCAAGUGUUUUUUAGUGUGAAGGGUGUUUUUAUCUGUGUUAGCAACUGUUCAGUAGGCAGCAAGUCCUCAAUAACAAAUUUUUUUUAAUCCUGAUUUUGUUUUAUUUUUUCCCAUUUCCUUAUUUCUACAGCUUGCCCAUCAACUUCAUGCCAGUCCUGGUCAGCCUCAUCUGAGGGAUCAGAGGCGGUGAAAACUGUCCAGUUUCUGGAUCUAGGACCUACAAGGAUGGUCACAGAUUCAGAUGACUUUUCUGUGGGGGAAAGAAUCUGAACAAUCUUUCUGAGGCUAAGUGGAGAUGAUCUGGCCAUUACUGGAUUAAAUCUUUCUUCAAGCCCAAUCAGAUCUAUCUAUAUGACCUCCAAGCCUACUGAUGUCCAACCUGAACCUCCCCUGGCGCAGCCUGAGACUAUGUCCUCUCAUCCUGUUGCUGGUUGCCUGGGAGAGGAGGCUGACUCCUACCUUGUUAUAGCCUCCUUUCAGUAUGUUCUGUCUACCCCGCUGCUGGAGAAAUACAAAGUCAUGAGGAAACCCAAUAGGCCCCAGUUGUCAUGUGCUGUAAGUAAGGACAAUUUGACUUCCUGACAUACUUUGGUAUGAAUGUAGUGUUUGUCACACGAAUGAGUCUAUGCUUGUUUAUAUGCAAUGCCAUGACAUUUCAGCCAUGGAGUUUGGAUUUUCUGUUUGCAGUUCUCAUGAAGAUUGUUUAAAAUAACAGAUCCUUAACUGUUACAGACUGAUUAGUUAAUUUUAUAACUGAUAAAAACAAUAAAGUAAUAAACAUCAAAGUACUUAAGUCCAAAGUCCAAAAAUGUAAAGUGAGAACAAAUAUAUGAAUGUUUGACAGUUAAUUCUGAGUCCCUGUGUACAUGUGUAUUUGUGUAUUAUGACCUGUCCCAUUUAUGUGUUGUACAGUCUGUGCGUCAUCACUGCUUAACUCCACUCUCUGUGUUGUGCAAUUUGUUUGGGCUUGCAUGUUACAAGUCAAUAUAUUGGUUUUCGUUAGUGGUCUGGUUUCAUAAACGGAAUUAUCUCUUUGGAUGGAAAAUAGAGCAAAAAAACACAUAUGUUGCUUUAGAAGGACAGUGUUCUUGUUUGUGUGCAUAGGUAUUACUUAACAUAGGUUGUGUAUAAUAGACUGUGUGCCUUUUUUUGUUAGCUAAAAUAAGAUUUAAUUGCGUGUGUAAUAUACUGAGUAAAAUUUUAAAAACACGUUUCUACCUAAAGCAAUGGAGUUAAAACAUACUUGCUUAUUUUUCCUAGUCUGAUGUUUUCUCUCAACCCUGUUAUUACUACUUUUAUGCACCAAAGAUAAACUACUUGCCCUAGAAAUCUAAGAACAGGAAAACUCUGCCCCGAAAAGUUUAUUUUAACAUAUAGUUAAUAUACAGUUCAUAGUGUUGCUAGAUAAGCAAAUUAUGCAGAAAAAAGCAAAAGUUAUUAGAUCACAUGUGAUGUGCAGCCCUGUAGGAAGUAUGGAAGAAAUACAGACAUUAGCCCCAAUGUCCCAAAUUCCAGAUGGUAUGUCAAUGAAAGAGCAUCUGUCCUCUGUUGAAUCCCUUUCUCCUGGUUUUCGACACCUCAGGUACAUGCUUUGACAUGAUAGCCCCAAUAAGCACAACAGAAAUAUACAGAAUAUCUAAUGGGGAAAUAUAAACUAUUUCUUCUUUUUUUUAUUUUGGUUUGGUUUUGGGUUUUUUUGUUGG